Non-coding RNA from Pelobates cultripes (western spadefoot toad), 947 nucleotides. NCBI's taxonomy places the organism in Eukaryota, Metazoa, Chordata, Amphibia, Anura, Pelobatidae. The record is from the annotation of a GenBank genome assembly.
UGAGCGCCCACUUUGUCGACUUAGCGCUCAGAUCCCUUCGUUGGUUCGGGAACGCCAUUCGAAUGACGUUUUGACCAGUCGGCCACGAGGUGGUGCCCCAAAAUAGUUCCAUAGAAAACAAGACAACGACCGGUUAUGUUUCGGGAGUUGUCACAUAAACACAGACGAAUGCUCCCCCUGUUAGGGAGUGAACGCUCCCCCUGUUCGGUAGAUCCUAGGUCCUGAAUGCCGUUCGUCUAGUCGGUCGGGAAGUGGGACAGGCAGCGGGUACCAUCUUUGCCCGGGUUCACAGAGACACGAGGCCGAAAAUAGUUCCAGGCGUUCAACCAGGUACCUCUGCCUGCGUUCGGAAGACAAAAUGGGCUCCAUGCACUGGACCACGUUCGUUCGGUUAUACAAACAGUGCCCACCAAGGGAAAGCACUCACGUUAAUCACCAAUUUGUGGUUAACAGCCAGUGGAGAUCACGUUCGAAGGGUUAUAAAAGGGGGGACCACCAGGGAAUGGAGUUUGUUAGAGUGGUCUUAUACAUGAAGAGUGAUCCUCUUUUUCUUUGUUCCAGGGCAUGCAAAUGUUACAGUUUGUGCUGUAAUUUGAGUUUUUGCUAUUAAAGGACCACUAUAGUGCUAGGAAAACACUCGUUUUCCUGGCACUCUGGGGCCCGAUGCACAUCAACCUCUUCGCCUCCCGAUUAAAUUCACAACUUCCCUCUUUCUUCAGCUGGUGACCAGAUACAGACGCCAUGGCGGUGGACGCCUUCCUACAACCCUGGCCAAAUAGAUGGCUAUAUGCUUUUGCUCCCUUCUCUCUAAUAGAUCGGACCCUCCUACAUCUACAACGAUUCCGAGCAUCACUGGUUUUGAUAAGACCCUUCUGGACAGCACAGCCUUGGUUCCCUUCCCUCAUGGAAAUGUCUAUUGACCUCCCCAGACUAAUUCCGGUAUCCAC